Long non-coding RNA from Daphnia magna, 411 nucleotides. RefSeq lists it as uncharacterized. The record is from RefSeq and is a predicted model, not a curated record. NCBI's taxonomy places the organism in Eukaryota, Metazoa, Arthropoda, Branchiopoda, Diplostraca, Daphniidae. The transcript has 2 exons.
CUUUUACAAUUGCAGUUACAGAAGGACAACUAAUUACAACUUAGUAUUAUUUUUUCUACUUUUCCUUUGGUUCAAUACAUCAAAGCAUUUUACUGUAGAUAUACUUCUCCUGAUUUGGGGUUGGUGUGCAUCUAUUUGCUACCAUAGAAACAACCGAAUGCAACCACUGGACAUAUAUCGAUUGCCAAAUAGCCCCAAUUUCACCCGCUAUGGCGCAAACACGCACGAAACCGAAGGCUACGAAUUGAUCGUUUUGUCAAGUGCUAUGUAUCAAUUCCCCCCUUUUUCUGUUCCACUGGAACGCCCGCCGGUUCUAAAUGCAAAGCGAUUGCACGCACGACGAAUCUCCGGUGUUAUCCAUCUAUUUUUAAACCAAUUAACAUAAGAUAAUACAACUACUCACAACAUCAA